This is a long non-coding RNA of Armigeres subalbatus, 601 nucleotides long. RefSeq lists it as uncharacterized. The transcript is spliced from 3 exons. NCBI's taxonomy places the organism in Eukaryota, Metazoa, Arthropoda, Insecta, Diptera, Culicidae. The record is from RefSeq and is a predicted model, not a curated record.
UUGGAUAUAAUUUUAUUUUGGUAGAUGGGUGCUUUUAACUUUAUUCUAAAGUCUUCCUGAAUUACUCCCUUUUGAAUAAAUUUGCUCAUAUGAAAGUACCCAAAAUGACGUGUUGGGAUAUAACUUGGUUUUGGAUGAAAAUUUUCUUGUCAUGAAUCAAAUCAAAGAACAAAAUGUAUUUAAUCAAAUCUAAUGUGAAAAAAAAUCUGUAUACAGUAUACUAUAGUCAAGCUUGAUUCAACCGAAAUUGAAAUUGCUUUAAAACAGUUCUAUAGAGUGCUACAUGAAGGAAAACCUAACCUUUUCGAUACCGGCAACGGGCCCAUGGAUUUUGCUGGCUCUCUCUAAAACUCGUUCGGAUGUGAGCGCCUCACUAUGUUUCGGGAUAUGGACAAUAUCUUCCGUACCAGUGCGGUGUCAUUUUCCGGAUGCAUUAGUAUGGAUUCGCCGAAUAGAAUAACUACCGCAGUGCCUCAUGGAGGUCGGACAUCCGGACGUGAUUUCAAUGUGGCGUUUUCAUUGAAGACUUCAAAAUACGACUCAAACAACCUUAUCGAAAUAACGGCAGCAGCACUUCGGGCGGCGCAAGAUCUGGGAAAUA